RNAcentral lists this ribosomal RNA (457 nucleotides) under uncultured soil bacterium. RNAcentral describes it as "bacterial SSU rRNA". It matches the Rfam family "Bacterial small subunit ribosomal RNA", at positions 26 to 467 of the family's 1533-position model. The record is from RNAcentral.
AGAGCGAACGUUAGCGGCGGGCUUAACACAUGCAAGUCGAGCGAGAAAGGGACUUCGGUCCCGAGUACAGCGGCGGACGGGUGAAUAACACGUAGGUAACCUUCCUUCCGGCGGGGGACAACGGUCCGAAAGGACCGCUAAUACCGCAUACGUUCCUUGGGACCUCGGUCCUGGGGAGGAAAGCCUCGCAAGGGGCACUGGAUGAGGGGCCUGCGUAGCAUCAGCUAGUUGGUGGGGUAAUGGCCUACCAAGGCGAAGACGCUUAGCUGGUCUGAGAGGAUGAUCAGCCACACUGGGACUGAGACACGGCCCAGACUCCUACGGGAGGCAGCAGUGGGGAAUAUGGACAAUGGGACGAAAGCCUAGAUCCAGCCAACGCCGCGUGAGUAGAUGAAGGUCCUUCGGGUACGUAAAGCUCGUGGUGGGAGGUACGAAGUAACCCGAGUAGAAAGAACGU